UUCCACCUACCAGUACCAAAUUCAAUAAAGUUGUUGACAUUCAGAUGUGACCACUUUAUAGUAACCUUAGUUUUCG
RNAcentral lists this transfer RNA (76 nucleotides) under Citrobacter phage Mijalis. RNAcentral's name for it is "tRNA-Ile". Lineage: Duplodnaviria; Heunggongvirae; Uroviricota; Caudoviricetes; Andersonviridae. The record is from RNAcentral.